AAUCAUUACAGCUAAGUUAGUUGAUGGAGCAUCAGGAUUGGACACAGACAGGUGAAGAGGUGAUGGCAUGGCAAGAGAUGCGGCUGUUCACUGAAGCCAUGGAGCGCAUUAACAGAACUUUGGAUACCAAAUCUGCAAAAAGGCAUGUAGCCAGGAUAAAGUUUUUGGAAAGCACAAUUAUGGAGUCCAGGACAAAAUAGCAAUGAACAUCUGGGAUAAGAGACAGUAGACAAAAAAGGACUGAGGAAGGACUGUAUCACCUGAGACUCUGGGAAGGUGCCUAUGUAAAGCCUGUCUUCACCUGAUGUACUUUCACUGCCACAGAAAUAGAAAGCGAAAACCAAAUGGUUUAAAAAAAUGGAAAGAGGUCUCUCUACUCUGAGGGCUUAUUUCAAAAGUCUGAAAUUAAAACCACAACAACAUGGGAAAUCCUGUGAGCACAGGGAGGAGUUGAACUCCUCCUGAUUUAAGUGGGUGCAUUUGGAAAGAACUUGUUUGGAAAACUGCAUAGGUAAUCUCUAACUAGAAUGAGAUGAAAAAGCCAUAUAAUAGAAAGAAAUGUGAAAGUUAUUGUAUGAAAACUGAGGAAAUUAUGUAAAAAACUUGGAGAAGCGUCAACUACCAUUGACCAAUAAACAGUACUGUAUAUGAAAGAGACUAGGACGUAACCAAUUAAUGAGUGGCACAGCUAGAAAAUGAAUCAUGAAAUCAGACAUUACACUGGGCAAUAUGUCUGAAAAAACUAGAACUGAAGUGACUCUGAUAUUCCCAAAACAUUUACUGGAGAGACAUGAAGACCUAGAGAAGAGAGAAUG
Mauremys mutica (yellowpond turtle) is the source of this 815-nucleotide long non-coding RNA. RefSeq lists it as uncharacterized. Lineage: Eukaryota; Metazoa; Chordata; Testudines; Geoemydidae. The transcript is spliced from 3 exons. The record is from RefSeq and is a predicted model, not a curated record.